RNAcentral lists this ribosomal RNA (274 nucleotides) under uncultured bacterium. RNAcentral describes it as "partial 16S ribosomal RNA". It matches the Rfam family "Bacterial small subunit ribosomal RNA", at positions 523 to 796 of the family's 1533-position model. The record is from RNAcentral.
AUACGGAGGGUGCAAGCGUUACUCGGAAUCACUGGGCGUAAAGCGCGCGCAGGCGGGCUGAUAAGUUGGAUGUGAAAGCCUACGGCUCAACCGUAGAACUGCAUCCAAAACUGUCAGUCUAGAGUCUGGGAGGGGAAGAUGGAAUUAGUUGUGUAGGGGUAAAAUCCGUAGAGAUAACUAGGAAUACCAAAAGCGAAGGCGAUCUUCUGGAACAGUACUGACGCUGAGGCGCGAAAGCGUGGGGAGCAAACAGAAUUAGAUACCCCAGUAGUCC